RNAcentral lists this ribosomal RNA (482 nucleotides) under uncultured bacterium. Its description in RNAcentral is "bacterial SSU rRNA". It matches the Rfam family "Bacterial small subunit ribosomal RNA", at positions 32 to 507 of the family's 1533-position model. The record is from RNAcentral.
GACAACGCUGGCGGCGUGCCUAACACAUGCAAGUCGAACGAAGCUCCCCGAUACAAGGCUUCGGCCAAGUUGAAGGGAUGACUUAGUGGCGGACGGGUGAGUAACGCGUGAGGAACCUGCCUUUCAGUGGGGGACAACAGUUGGAAACGGCUGCUAAUACCGCAUAAUGUUUCUGGACCGCAUGAUCUGGAAACCAAAGCUUUAUGUGCUGAAAGAUGGCCUCGCGUCUGAUUAGAUAGUUGGUGAGGUAACGGCCCACCAAGUCUACGAUCAGUAGCCGGACUGAGAGGUUGAACGGCCACAUUGGGACUGAGAUACGGCCCAGACUCCUACGGGAGGCAGCAGUGGGGAAUAUUGGGCAAUGGGGGAAACCCUGACCCAGCAACGCCGCGUGAAGGAAGAAGGCUUUCGGGUUGUAAACUUCUUUUGUCAGGGACGAGUAGAAGACGGUACCUGACGAAUAAGCCACGGCUAACUACGUG